AGAGUUUGAUCCUGGCUCAGGAUGAACGUUUGGCGGCGCGCCUAACACGUGCAAGUCGAACGGCACCCAUCUUCGGAUGGAAGCGAGUGGCGAACGGCUGAGUAACACGUGGAGAACCUGCCCCCUCCCCCGGGAUAGCCGCCCGAAAGGACGGGUAAUACCGGAUACCCCGGGGUGCCGCAUGGCACCCCGGCUAAAGCCCCGACGGGAGGGGAUGGCUCCGCGGCCCAUCAGGUAGACGGCGGGGUGACGGCCCACCGUACCGACAACGGGUAGCCGGGUUGAGAGACCGACCGGCCAGAUUGGGACUGAGACACGGCCCAGACUCCUACGGGAGGCAGCAGUGGGGAAUCUUGCGCAAUGGGGGGAACCCUGACGCAGCGACGCCGCGUGCGGGACGGAGGCCUUCGGGUCGUAAACCGCUUUCAGCAGGGAAGAGUCAAGACUGUACCUGCAGAAGAAGCCCCGGCUAACUACGUGCCAGCAGCCGCGGUAAUACGUAGGGGGCGAGCGUUAUCCGGAUUCAUUGGGCGUAAAGCGCGCGUAGGCGGCCCGGCAGGCCGGGGGUCGAAGCGGGGGGCUCAACCCCCCGAAGCCCCCGGAACCUCCGCGGCUUGGGUCCGGUAGGGGAGGGUGGAACACCCGGUGUAGCGGUGGAAUGCGCAGAUAUCGGGUGGAACACCGGUGGCGAAGGCGGCCCUCUGGGCCGAGACCGACGCUGAGGCGCGAAAGCUGGGGGAGCGAACAGGAUUAGAUACCCUGGUAGUCCCAGCCGUAAACGAUGGACGCUAGGUGUGGGGGGACGAUCCCCCCGUGCCGCAGCCAACGCAUUAAGCGUCCCGCCCUGGGGAGUA
Molecule: ribosomal RNA, 854 nt
Filed under: uncultured bacterium
Lineage: Bacteria
Description: bacterial SSU rRNA
Rfam family: Bacterial small subunit ribosomal RNA
Source: RNAcentral